This is a long non-coding RNA of Myxocyprinus asiaticus (Chinese sucker), 1307 nucleotides long. RefSeq lists it as uncharacterized. The record is from RefSeq and is a predicted model, not a curated record. Lineage: Eukaryota; Metazoa; Chordata; Actinopteri; Cypriniformes; Catostomidae. The transcript is spliced from 3 exons.
UGUGGAGCGCUCACAUUGUCAUAACCAUGACAAACAAGAAUCUUCUUUCAAUAGCAAAAAUGUCUGAGAACAUUGCAUAUAAUGCAAAUGAAUAACAUGCUAUUCCACUCUCAACAUGACUGGUUUCUAUAGAAUGAGUCAGCUAUCCCACACGACUCUCGAGAAGUUUUAAAGGAGACAUAACAAGGAAAACAUAUUGAAAACAUCCUGACAUACAGAUGGUUCCAAAAGUUAGGAUGCUGCCUAAGAAGAUGACAGAACACCGCAAGGCAGCUCACAAAGUUUUGGAGAAAGAGCCCAUGAAAGUUUGUUCAGAUAGCAAGAGCGAUGAUCCCUGCUGCCAUCGGAGCUGAAGCUGAUGUUCCAGUGUGACUGUCUGUGCAACGCUGCCGCAAAUCUGUUGUGAUCUAACAAGAAACAAAGAGAGAAUAUGAAUGAAUGACUGGGUCAAAGAGAGGGCUGGGGGGGCAUUGCCCACCUAGAUUUUCCUAAUCCUUAGGCAGGGCUGUUCUUGCGACAGUCUUGCUUGCAUUUUCGAUUAAAAAUUAUACUAUGCAACGACAAAUUGUAACUAGGGCUGGGCAAUAAAUCACUCUUGAUAUUUAUAGCGAUAAAAAAUUUUUCCACGAUAUCGAUGAUAAGCUUGAGUAAUUUUCGAUAUUUAGCCUGUGUUCUACAUUUAGACGAUCAUGUGCGUGUCCCUAAAAACGCAAGCAGUUCGGCUUUCUCAGACUGUACGAAGUUGCUAACGUUAGCAGGCAGUGCCUUGCUAACGAUUAGGCUACGCCAGUCACCGGACCCAAGAUUGAUUACAUCCAGACCGCAAGACAUCAUGACGACGGUUUAGCCCUCUCUUCGUCUCUAGUAAGCAGCACAACAAAACAACAGUGCAGCGUACACCAGAUCUGAUCUUUCUGCGCUGUAUUCUUGAAUAUUUUUCUCUAGCACCGAACAUGCUUCAUUUAUGCCCUGUCCCGCUCCGCAUUCGUUGGCUUUUUCCCUGCAUGCAAGUAGCCAUAAGGCGCCACAUAAGCGUCUUUGGACAAUAACGUUUUUCUUUAUAAAUUUAGCUUCAUUAAUCAGCAUGUUAUGAGCCUUUAAUAUUAAACUAAUAGAUUUCUGUUCUAAUUUUGUGAAAUUAAUCAUCUCUGGCAUGGAUGACAAGGAAAGACAAUAAAAUUACUAGUUGGUGGCCUAUUCUUUCUCCCUUUAAUGAAAAUAUAAAAUGGUCCAUUCAGAUAAAUUUUACCCCCAUACAGUAUCAUUCCUCAGUCACAAGGGCUUUUAUGCCCCCCAUACUUGGGUAU